CGCACCGCCUUAAAGGAGCCGCAUACGACCCGCGUUUUCUACCGGAAGCGUUAGCUUAAGCUUGGCGGAUGUGGGCCAUUCGCCUGUUCCUUCUAGGGUACGCUGGAGCGUGUUGCUGGGUCCCUUGCGCCGGUACGGCCCGGGCCGGCGCCCCAGGACAGGCGUCCGCUCCUGGUUCCUCGAGGGCCCACGCCUGACCCCUGCAGGCCAGCGCUCCUGGGCCGCCCCAGCCCGAGGCCAGGUGGCCUCCCUGUCCGCCCGCUCAAACUCGGACUUUAUUCGGGAGAGAAGGCUCGUUCAGAGAGCUGUGCACCCGUGUCCGGGCACGCUGGGAGAGUGGCACCUGUGGAGAAGGGGGCUGCCUGAGGAUAGGAGGGGCGGGGUGGACACGUUCAGUUGCCGAACCCGGCCCUCCAUCACCUAGACUAGCUUUUAAAGCCUCUGGCACCUUGUAACUACCCCUUAGAUGGCGCCAGAUGACUGCGGUCAAAGGGGGAAGGUGACCAGAAUUCCUGCUCCUGGCACCCAGAGGGAUUGUACGUGAAUUCCGGUCCCUUCUGUGAGCCUGCAGGCUGCUCUGCUGUGGGUGAGUGGUGGCACAGCCUUCUCUCCUGGGGUCCUUCUCUGCCUCCCUUUACAAAUGAGGAAGGGGACACCCAGAGAGGAGGCCACGCGGGCGGGAGGAGAGCCUAAGCUGGUCUUCUGCAGCCCCAUGGGUCUUCAAAUCUUAGGGUGGCAUGACCCCACAGCCCCAAGGCUCAACACAGGCCUAGGUAGGGUACUCUACAGCCUUCUGUCUUCCAGUUAAAAGAGCACCAGGCACGCCUGUAAUUCCAGCAGCUGAGGCUGAGGAGGCUGAGGCUGGGAAUCCCAAGUUCAAAGCCAGCCUCAGCAAUUUAGCAAAACUCUGUCUCAAAAUAAAACCUAAAAAGGGCUGGCUCAGUGGUUAAGUGCCCAUGGGUUCUACCUCUGGUACAAAAAAAAAAGUGAGGGCUGGGGUUGUGGCUCAAGUGGUAGAGCACUUGCCUAGCAUGUGCAAGGCACUGGGUUCUAUCCUCAGCACCACACAAAAAUAAAUAAAUAAAGGUACUGUGUCCAAUUACAACUAAAAAACAAGAUUUUUUUUUAAAAAGCAUGCCAAAUGAUACAGGAACUGUUAAAGCUCCAUCCUUGUCCCCAUGCCAAUCCAAUAACAAAGACAUGGUUUUGAGGAAAAGAAGUUUUAUUGUUUUCUAGUAAAGGAGAAGCACAGAGAACUCCUGUCCCAGAAGCUGUGAUUCUGCCCAUCAAGGGGAUCAGGAGGCUUUUAAGGAGAUGAUUCAAAAGCAUGUGUUCUCUGUUGGAGCUGUAAUUCACUUGUUAACUUGGGAGAUAGUCAUUUCUGAGAUCUUCUGGAACCAUCCCCAAAGUCUGAAUUACUUUGUUCCUGUGGUGUGUAUGUGUGUGCUCAAGGACAGGUAACUCUGCCUAGGAUGGAUUGCUAAUCCUGCUUCCCCCUGAGAUUAGGGAGAAGGAGCAAUUAGGGAGUAGCAGGGAGAGAAAGAGAAAGAAUGUGAGGAUGGUCUUGGGCCUGAGCCUAAGCAAUUCCAUUUUAAAAACUCCAGUUUGAAACCUGCAGUCUCACCACACUUGCCUAACAGAGCCCUCUAGUAUGGCUCCCCGGCACAAACAAGUCACUUCUCCCCGCCCUGAUAAACUCAGAGUGAAGCCUCUGGAAAGCUGGCCUCCUCGGAUAGGAGGGAAAGACCUGAGAAAAGGUAAAGGUGAAAAGAUCAGGGUGGGGACCACCAGGCCAGAUGUUUUAACCCCAGGGUAAAUGAUGUCCCUGAGAAAUCCCGUGGUAGCUGAUAAGGAUUGAAGAGGGGUCAAAAGCCCCAAAAUUUAGUAUAAAUAAUAGAGCAAAUGAACAGAUAUUCAGCCAGACGAAACUGAUGCCUACAAGCUGGAGAGCCUGAUGAGGACCUGGACUGACAUCCCAUCACCUGUCAUUCUUUGCUGAUCCCCUGCGUCUUCCUCACCGCUCUCCAACUCUACAGCCAUAUCUUGACCCUGGUGAGAGCAGCAACUUCUCCCUACAGCCCCCUCCUCAGCCAGCCGCCUGCUGCGUCCCAGGAGAAGCCUGCCUUGGUUCCUGACCUGAUCACCUCCGUCUGAGUGAGUGGGCAUCUGUGGACUUAGAGCCUAAGGCUGGAGACUUUAGACCUGGCACUUGAGCUUAAUUUGCAGAGGGAAUGUCUGUCAUUAGCCUGUCAUGAUUAAGUGUGUUUGCAGGCUUAGAAUUAAUUAAUCUAGGAUUGUUUGCUGUGAAUUAAUUAAUCUAGGAUUGUUUGCUGUGAAUUGAUUAUGUCCAUUGCAGUGCCCAGCAUUAAGGAUUGCCGUUUUCUUGAUUAAGAACCUACAGAGUGAAAUUGUAUUGAGCGAGUUGAGUGAAUAAAGCAUUGACUAGGGCAGAAGCGCGUGGACAUUCUUUAUUUCUCCCCCUGGACUGC
Molecule: long non-coding RNA, 2489 nt
Filed under: Marmota monax (woodchuck)
Lineage: Eukaryota; Metazoa; Chordata; Mammalia; Rodentia; Sciuridae
Source: RNAcentral